This 85-nucleotide transfer RNA is filed under the name Atopobiaceae bacterium. RNAcentral describes it as "tRNA-Leu". It matches the Rfam family "tRNA". From Rfam's summary of the family: Transfer RNA (tRNA) molecules are approximately 80 nucleotides in length. Their secondary structure includes four short double-helical elements and three loops (D, anti-codon, and T loops). The record is from RNAcentral. Lineage: Bacteria; Bacillati; Actinomycetota; Coriobacteriia; Coriobacteriales; Atopobiaceae.
GCCCGAGUGGCGGAAUUGGCAGACGCGGAGGUCUCAAAAACCUUUAUCGAAAGAUGUGUGAGUUCGAGUCUCACCUCGGGCACCA